Molecule: ribosomal RNA, 460 nt
Filed under: uncultured bacterium
Lineage: Bacteria
Description: partial 16S ribosomal RNA
Rfam family: Bacterial small subunit ribosomal RNA
Source: RNAcentral
CCUACGGGCGGCAGCAGUGAGGAAUAUUGGUCAAUGGACGCAAGUCUGAACCAGCCAUGCCGCGUGCAGGAUGACGGCUCUAUGAGUUGUAAACUGCUUUUGUACGAGGGUAAACUCCGAUACGUGUAUCGUUUUGUAUGUAUCAUACGAAUAAGGAUCGGCUAACUCCGUGCCAGCAGCCGCGGUAAUACGGAGGAUCCGAGCGUUAUCCGGAUUUAUUGGGUUUAAGGGGUGCGUAGGCGGUUUGAUAAGUUAGAGGUGAAAGGUCGCGGCUCAACCCCGAAAUUGCCGUUGAUACUGUUGGACUAGAGAGUAGCUGCGGUAGGCGGAAUGUAUGGUGUAGCGGUGAAAUGCUUAGAGAUCAUACAGAACACCGAUUGCGAAGGCAGCUUACCAAACUAUAUCUGACGUUGAGGCACGAAAGCGUGGGUAGCAAACAGGAUUAGAUACCCCAGUAGUC